GACGAACGCUGGCGGCGUGCUUAACACAUGCAAGUCGAACGGAAAGGCCCUGCUUUUGUGGGGUGCUCGAGUGGCGAACGGGUGAGUAACACGUGAGUAACCUGCCCUUGACUUUGGGAUAACUUCAGGAAACUGGGGCUAAUACCGCAUAGGAGCUCCUGCUGCAUGGUGGGGGUUGGAAAGUUUCGGCGGUUGGGGAUGGACUCGCGGCUUAUCAGCUUGUUGGUGGGGUAGUGGCUUACCAAGGCUUUGACGGGUAGCCGGCCUGAGAGGGUGACCGGCAACAUUGGGACUGAGAGACGGCCCAGACGCCUACGGGAGGCAGCAGUGGGGAAUAUUGCACAAUGGGCGGAAGCCUGAUGCAGCAACGCCGCGUGCGGGAUGACGGCCUUCGGGUUGUAAACAGCUUUCGACUGUGACGAAGCGUGAGUGACGGUAAUGGGUAAAGAAGCACCGGCUAACUACGUG
Molecule: ribosomal RNA, 468 nt
Filed under: uncultured bacterium
Lineage: Bacteria
Description: partial 16S ribosomal RNA
Rfam family: Bacterial small subunit ribosomal RNA
Source: RNAcentral